UACGUAGGGUGCAAGCGUUGUCCGGAAUUAUUGGGCGUAAAGAGCUCGUAGGCGGUCUGUCGCGUCGGCUGUGAAAACCCGGGGCUCAACCCCGGGCCUGCAGUCGAUACGGGCAGACUAGAGUGCGGUAGGGGAGACUGGAAUUCCUGGUGUAGCGGUGAAAUGCGUAGAUAUCAGGAGGAACACCGGUGGCGAAGGCGGCUACCUGGCCUAAGACUGACGCUGAGGUGCGAAAGCGUGGGGAGCGAACGGG
This 253-nucleotide ribosomal RNA is filed under the name uncultured bacterium. Its description in RNAcentral is "partial 16S ribosomal RNA". It matches the Rfam family "Bacterial small subunit ribosomal RNA", at positions 524 to 776 of the family's 1533-position model. The record is from RNAcentral.